GGAGCAUUAAGCCCUUGACUGUGAUGUAAAUUAAAAAUAUGUUAUCUCAAAAACUAAAAGAUAAAGGAAAUAUAUUUUUAGAAUUGUUAAAAGAAAUACAUGGAAGAUUAAAAAAAGAAAUUGAUCUUUUUUUUAUGCUACUGAGAUUUUGGAAUUUUCUAUUUCUAUAUCUUCACCUGGGCUGCUCUGACUAAUAAACCAAAAAUAUGGGAUUUUUCUGUGAUGUCAACUUUUGGUUGCUGAUGGUCACUUAGAGCACUGAACUAGGAAUACUUUGAUUUUUAUGUCUCUACCAGCAUAAUAUAGGACAAUGAAACCUAUUGCUGACCUCAGUUUAUUCUAUGCUGAUGAGCACAUUUUGUAACAGCUAUUUCCCCUUUCUUCCUCAUGACCUAUACGUGUGGCUCCAGCUGCUUGCUAUGCACCGGCAUAACUGUGUUAGAAUUCCAAGGAAGGGGCCUUCAUCACCGUAUUAUGAGCUAUCUCGUCUUCCUCAUCCACUCCUCACUGCUGUAGUACCAGGGUAUGUCCUUAGUAUUUCUUCCCUGCACCACUAAGGGAAUCUACUAACUGGAAUCCUUCUUUUGUUACCUGUCACUUGUGUAACUACUGUUCACUGAGUGCUCACACUGUACAAAACAUCAAACCAAGGGAUGCAUAUGUUGUCUCUCUUAAUCCUCAUAGCAACCACUUUUUAUUUAGGCCCCAUAUAACUUGGAUCCUUUCCCAGUCCUGCUUCAGUCAUUUUUUUCUUAGAGUAGAUCCUGUGACUAUAAAUAUCUACGGAAAGUAGGAAUAGGAAAAAUAUGGCCCAGAGCAAGUUCCCUCAUUUUAUUUUAUGAGAGACAGAGGUAACAGACUGCUCUGGGUUUCUUGGGAUGAUGCUUGAACCCAAGGUGUAGAUUUUUGAAAAUAGCUUUUUUGAAUGUGAUUUUAUAAUUCUGUGCCCAAACCAUAGCCAACAGUGAGUUCCAGUUUACAUAUGUUUGAGACUCAUAGGCAUGUUCUAGCCAUGAUACUUUCCAUUUUCCCCACUACCCAGCUCUCCAGAUCCUUUUGCAGAAAGUUGGCUUCCCUUCUGUAGUCCAAGCCAGCUGUGUUCUCUGACUCAAGGCCUGAAUCACUUUAAUCUGAUGCUGUGGAAAAGACAGAUACCUGGGGCUGGAGAGAUUGACAAGUCCUGUUCUACGGUGGUGGGAUCCUCUUUUAACUAGCUUUGAAACUUUUCCAGUAUACAAAUGAGCCCCCAACAAAUAAAAGGUGAAGGUAUCAGUUUAAUUUGUACUAC
RNAcentral lists this long non-coding RNA (1288 nucleotides) under Oryctolagus cuniculus (rabbit). RNAcentral describes it as "lncRNA (ENSOCUG00000030471.1)". Lineage: Eukaryota; Metazoa; Chordata; Mammalia; Lagomorpha; Leporidae. The record is from RNAcentral.